GCUGUGGGGAGGGACAGGUGGUGACAGGAGGGACAGGUGCUGACCCCGGCUGGGUUUGCAGGACAAACCCUGAGAUUUCCACCCUCCCCGUGGCAAAAUUGAUAGCGCUGCUGGUUCUCUGAUAUUCUGCUAGUGCUCUUGCGUUGGCAGCGACAAGCAUCAUACCUUGCAAUCAUCAGCUGCCACCUCUGGCCUGAGCUGCCCAGUGGCCUCGAAGACCUGCCCGUUCCAGGCCCUGAAGCGCAGGGCGCGCUCCGAGGGGCUCUCGGAGGAGCCCUCCCUCCACACAGAGGUGUUCAGGCAGUGGAUGGUGAUGUGCUGCACCACCUCCGAGCUCAGCAGCCGCAGGAAGUUCAUCUGGACUCUGCCGAUGUCAAAAUCCAGCUGGAAGAAAGCACCAAUGGGACCAUUCCCAGUCUCCAGCCCAAGCAAAGACAAAAAUGCCCUGGUACCUCUCUCUUGAGCGCGGUGUUGGAGUCGAUCAGGGUCUGGAAAGCUGCCCCAAAGCCAUCUUGCUGCUGGUGUGGUGUGAAAAAGAUGGAAACUGAGACUGUUAGAAGUUGAGCGUGCCCUGAUGCAAGAAAACACUUCUCAAUCUAAGGCUGCAGUUCAAGCACGCUAACAGAGCAUCUCCUGCUGGACCUGAGGGUGUGUCUGCAAGGACCCAGCAGCCCCUUGGCUCUGCAGGACUUGUGAUCAUCUUUACGAACAAACAUACAGAGAAUGGCAACUUACAAAUGAGGCUGGAACUCCUGGAGGUCCCUGGAAAUCAGAGGAGAAAAGGGGCAUCAGGCACGAAGCUGGUCAGUCACUGCUGCACAGAUAUUCAGCCCUGGCCUUUGAAAUGCCCCUCAGUGCAGAGAAGUGAGAGAGGCAACAAUGCUGUCUCUAUAAAACUCUUGGGGAUGGUUUGGACCAAAGCACAAGAAACACUGGUGCAUUCACACACGUGGUUUUGUGUGUGAGGAAUGGGGCUAAGCCAUAAUUUCCAGUGAGGGAGCAGUCCCUCUGGAGAGUGUCAUGGCCAUCAUUUCAGCUUGGUUCAAUCAUGAACUCUUCCCACAGAUACCUACCGGAGGGCCAGGGUGUCCUCGUGGGCCUGGAGGACCCUAAAGACAGAGUGGCAUCAGUUAGUGAAACAUCUCCAGUUUUUAUUUCCAUUUCUCAUGGUUUUUACCAGCAGGAAUCUGUUCCCAGCUGGAUUUUUGGCACCUCACAGCAGCCUGUCCCAAAACUUUUAAAAGAGGGGGGGUGGCCCCAUUUUGUCCCUGCUCUGGGUACAUCUCUCUACACCUGGUCCAUUCCUGCUGCAUCCCUUGUUCCCAGCCCUCUCAGCUCCUCAGUUGUCACUGAUGCCACGUCCCCAGGCACUCACCCCAUUCCAGGUGUGCAAGUAGCAGCUUUACACUUGCUAAAAGCAACUGUUUUAUUUAAACACAA
This is a long non-coding RNA of Haemorhous mexicanus (house finch), 1440 nucleotides long. RefSeq lists it as uncharacterized. The transcript is spliced from 3 exons. The record is from RefSeq and is a predicted model, not a curated record. NCBI's taxonomy places the organism in Eukaryota, Metazoa, Chordata, Aves, Passeriformes, Fringillidae.